CGGCCUCGCUGUUUGCAUGUUUGUGCGCUUUGGGUGUACUUUUUCGUAUGGUUGGCCAACAUCAGUUUCGAUUACUAUAAAAUGACUGGCGGAAUGUAGCUUCGAUUUCGGUUGAAGUGUUAUAGCCUCUGGUAGAUGUGGUGAUUGAGACUGAGGAUUGCAACGAAUAUCCUUUGGGCUAUCCGUCUGGCCUCUGAAAGUUGCUUGGGUGCUGAAAGCUUGCUUAUGGUUAUCUAAGUUAACGGUCAAUAGGUUAGAACGUGAUUACAUUCGUUAAGGAUGUUGACGUAAA
This 292-nucleotide ribosomal RNA is filed under the name uncultured fungus. RNAcentral's name for it is "partial large subunit ribosomal RNA". The record is from RNAcentral. Lineage: Eukaryota; Fungi.